Molecule: ribosomal RNA, 1405 nt
Filed under: Bisbaumannia salifodinae
Lineage: Bacteria; Pseudomonadati; Pseudomonadota; Gammaproteobacteria; Oceanospirillales; Halomonadaceae
Description: bacterial SSU rRNA
Rfam family: Bacterial small subunit ribosomal RNA
Source: RNAcentral
GAAGCUUGCUUCCAGGCGUCGAGCGGCGGACGGGUGAGUAAUGCAUAGGAAUCUGCCCGAUAGUGGGGGAUAACGUGGGGAAACCCACGCUAAUACCGCAUACGUCCUACGGGAGAAAGCAGGGGAUCUUCGGACCUUGCGCUAUCGGAUGAGCCUAUGUCGGAUUAGCUAGUUGGUGAGGUAAUGGCUCACCAAGGCGACGAUCCGUAGCUGGUCUGAGAGGAUGAUCAGCCACACUGGGACUGAGACACGGCCCAGACUCCUACGGGAGGCAGCAGUGGGGAAUAUUGGACAAUGGGGGAAACCCUGAUCCAGCCAUGCCGCGUGUGUGAAGAAGGCCUUCGGGUUGUAAAGCACUUUCAGCGAGGAAGAAGGCCUGAGGGUUAAUACCCUUCAGGAAGGACAUCACUCGCAGAAGAAGCACCGGCUAACUCCGUGCCAGCAGCCGCGGUAAUACGGAGGGUGCGGAGCGUUAAUCGGAAUUACUGGGCGUAAAGCGCGCGUAGGUGGCUUGAUAAGCCGGUUGUGAAAGCCCCGGGCUCAACCUGGGAACGGCAUCCGGAACUGUCAGGCUAGAGUGCAGGAGAGGAAGGUAGAAUUCCCGGUGUAGCGGUGAAAUGCGUAGAGAUCGGGAGGAAUACCAGUGGCGAAGGCGGCCUUCUGGACUGACACUGACACUGAGGUGCGAAAGCGUGGGUAGCAAACAGGAUUAGAUACCCUGGUAGUCCACGCCGUAAACGAUGUCGACUAGCCGUUGGGUUCCUUGAGAACUUUGUGGCGCAGUUAACGCGAUAAGUCGACCGCCUGGGGAGUACGGCCGCAAGGUUAAAACUCAAAUGAAUUGACGGGGGCCCGCACAAGCGGUGGAGCAUGUGGUUUAAUUCGAUGCAACGCGAAGAACCUUACCUACCCUUGACAUCGUGCGAACUUGGUAGAGAUACCUUGGUGCCUUCGGGAACGCACAGACAGGUGCUGCAUGGCUGUCGUCAGCUCGUGUUGUGAAAUGUUGGGUUAAGUCCCGUAACGAGCGCAACCCUUGUCCCUAUUUGCCAGCGAUUCGGUCGGGAACUCUAGGGAGACUGCCGGUGACAAACCGGAGGAAGGUGGGGACGACGUCAAGUCAUCAUGGCCCUUACGGGUAGGGCUACACACGUGCUACAAUGGUCGGUACAAAGGGUUGCAAUGCCGCGAGGUGGAGCUAAUCCCAUAAAGCCGAUCUCAGUCCGGAUCGGAGUCUGCAACUCGACUCCGUGAAGUCGGAAUCGCUAGUAAUCGUGAAUCAGAAUGUCACGGUGAAUACGUUCCCGGGCCUUGUACACACCGCCCGUCACACCAUGGGAGUGGACUGCACCAGAAGUGGUUAGCUUAACCUUCGGGGGAGCGAUCACUCACGGUGUGUCAAGGU